UACACUCCUAGGGAGGCAGCAGUGGGGAAUUUUGGACAAUGGGCGAAAGCCUGAUCCAGCAAUGCCGCGUGAGUGAAGAAGGCCUUCGGGUUGUAAAGCUCUUUUGUCAGGGAAGAAACGGUGAAAGCUAAUAUCUUUUGCUAAUGACGGUACCUGAAGAAUAAGCACCGGCUAACUACGUGCCAGCAGCCGCGGUAAUACGUAGGGUGCAGGCGUCAAUCGGAAUUACUGGGCGUAAAGCGUGCGCAGGCGGUUUUGUAAGUCUGAUGUGAAAUCCCCGGGCUCAACCUGGGAAUUGCAUUGGAGACUGCAAGGCUAGAAUCUGGCAGAGGGGGGUAGAAUUCCACGUGUAGCAGUGAAAUGCGUAGAUAUGUGGAGGAACACCGAUGGCGAAGGCAGCCCCCUGGGUCAAGAUUGACGCUCAUGCACGAAAGCGUGGGGAGCAAACAGGAUUAGAAACCCAGUAGUCCCAUGAU
Molecule: ribosomal RNA, 476 nt
Filed under: uncultured organism
Description: partial 16S ribosomal RNA
Rfam family: Bacterial small subunit ribosomal RNA
Source: RNAcentral